UCCUGAUGGUUCAGAUGGUAAGAAUCCACCUAUAAUGUAGAAGACCCAGGUUCAAUCCCUGGAUUGGGAG
This 70-nucleotide transfer RNA is filed under the name Capra hircus (goat). It matches the Rfam family "tRNA". Rfam says of the family: Transfer RNA (tRNA) molecules are approximately 80 nucleotides in length. RNAcentral also lists the same sequence under 1 other name. The record is from Rfam by way of RNAcentral. Lineage: Eukaryota; Metazoa; Chordata; Mammalia; Artiodactyla; Bovidae.